AGUGAACGCUGGCGGUAGGCCUAACACAUGCAAGUCGAACGGCCGCACAGUAAGAGCUUGCUCUUACGGGUGGCGAGUGGCGGACGGGUGAGGAAUACAUCGGAAUCUACUUUUUCGUGGGGGAUAACGUAGGGAAACUUACGCUAAUACCGCAUACGACCUACGGGUGAAAGCAGUGGAUCUUCGGACCUUGCGCGACUGAAUGAGCCGAUGUCGGAUUAGCUAGUUGGCGGGGUAACGGCCCACCAAGGCGACGAUGCGUAGCUGAUCUGAGAGGAUGAUCAGCCACACUGGAGCUGAGACACGGUCCAGACUCCUACGGGAGGCAGCAGUGGGGAAUAUUGGACAAUGGGCGCAAGCCUGAUCCAGCCAUACCGCGUGAGUGAAGAAGGCCUUCGGAUUGUAAAGCCCUUUUGUUGGGAAAGAAAAGCAGCAGGUUAAUACCCCGCUGUUCUGACGGUACCCAAAGAAUAAGCACCGGCUAACUUCGUG
Molecule: ribosomal RNA, 492 nt
Filed under: uncultured bacterium
Lineage: Bacteria
Description: partial 16S ribosomal RNA
Rfam family: Bacterial small subunit ribosomal RNA
Source: RNAcentral